Molecule: ribosomal RNA, 292 nt
Filed under: uncultured bacterium
Lineage: Bacteria
Description: partial 16S ribosomal RNA
Rfam family: Bacterial small subunit ribosomal RNA
Source: RNAcentral
GUGCCAGCAGCCGCGGUAAUACGGAGGGUGCAAGCGUUAUUCGGAAUUACUGGGCGUAAAGGGCGCGUAGGCUGUUUAGUUAGUCUGGUGUGAAAUCCCUCGACUUAAUCGAGGAAGUGCAUUGGAUACUGCUAGACUCGAGUGCUGGAGGGGAGAACGGAAUUCCAGGUGUAGAGGUGAAAUUCGUAGAUAUCUGGAGGAACAACGGAGGCGAAGGCGGUUCUCUGGACAGCAACUGACGCUGAUGCGCGAAAGUGUGGGGAGCAAACAGGAUUAGAUACCCGUGUAGUCC